GACGAACCGUGCGAACGUUGUUCGGAAUCACUGGGCAUAAAGGGCGCGUAGGCGGCUCGCGAGGUCGGGGGUGAAAUCCCACAGCUUAACUGUGGAAGUGCCUUCGAUACCGGCGGGCUGGAGGAAGGUAGGGGUGCGCGGAACUUCUGGUGGAGCGGUGAAAUGCGUUGAUAUCAGAAGGAACGCCGGCGGCGAAAGCGGCGCACCUGGACCUUUUCUGACGCUGAGGCGCGAAAGCCAGGGGAGCAAACGGG
This 254-nucleotide ribosomal RNA is filed under the name uncultured bacterium. RNAcentral's name for it is "partial 16S ribosomal RNA". It matches the Rfam family "Bacterial small subunit ribosomal RNA", at positions 524 to 776 of the family's 1533-position model. The record is from RNAcentral.